AGCUCCAAUAGCGUAUAUUAAAGUUGUUGCAGUUAAAAAGCUCGUAGUUGGACUUUGGAGUGGGCCAGUUGGUUCGCCGCAAGGUGUGUUACUGACUGGUCUGCUCUUCUUCGCAAAGACUGCGUGUGCUCUUUGUUGAGUGUGCGUAGGAUUUACGACGGUUACUUUGAAAAAAUUAGAGUGUUCAAAGCAGACUAUUGCUUGAAUACAUGAGCAUGGAAUAAUGGAAUAGGACUUUGGUCCCAUUUUGUUGGUUUCUAGGACCGAAGUAAUGAUUAAGAGGGACAAUUGGGGGCAUCCGUAUUUCGUUGUCAGAGGUGAAAUUCUUGGAUUUACGAAAGACGAACAACUGCGAAAGCAUUUGUUUUCA
This 370-nucleotide ribosomal RNA is filed under the name marine Metazoa environmental sample. RNAcentral describes it as "SSU rRNA". It matches the Rfam family "Eukaryotic small subunit ribosomal RNA", at positions 587 to 963 of the family's 1831-position model. Lineage: Eukaryota; Metazoa. The record is from RNAcentral.